This is a long non-coding RNA of Vigna unguiculata (cowpea), 1025 nucleotides long. Lineage: Eukaryota; Viridiplantae; Streptophyta; Magnoliopsida; Fabales; Fabaceae. The record is from RefSeq and is a predicted model, not a curated record.
CAUAUUGUCUCUCUCAUUCACGGUUGCACACCACUCCAUCUCCUCCGUUGACUGUUGCCAGUUCAACUACGUUGCCUCUCCAGAUCAACCAUCGCCACUUCCUGUCGAGUCCAAUUGCGUCGCGGCUUCCUCUCGAGUCCAACUGCGUCGCGGCUUCCUCUCCCAUUCACUGUUGCGAUUUUCAUUUCUCUGGUAGCUAAGCCAUUGUUUCUUCCCUCUUCAUUUCCGUUUAUUGCUCGUCGUUCUUUAUGGUUUCUCUCUAACACUCAUUGUUCUCCCCUUUUGUAAUUUUGACAUCUCACAUUCUAGGGUUUAUCUCUUCUGCAUCUACAUUGUUUCUAAUCUCUUCACAAUUGAUCGGUUCAAUCAAGACUUUGCUGGUUCAAUGUUCCCUACAACAAUCAUAUAUAGCUUUCAAGGGAAGUAAGAAACUUCUUUGCAUCAUUUGGUGAUCAGAAAGAGGAGUACGAUUUUUGAAGUUGUUGUGCUUCAACUAUUACAACACCUGUUGUGGAUUCUAUAAUAUCAGAUUAAAGAUGAUGGACAAAGAGUGGACUAAACUUCCAAGAUUUAGUAAAGAGUAUGCUAAUGGUGUAGAGUUAUUUUUAGAUUUUGCAUACGCUAGCGGAAGAGCUCAAGGGAAUGAGAUCUUAUGCCCUUGUUCCAAGUGUAGAAAUCUUUAUUGGGCAACAAGAAAUGUGGUCUAUGAUCAUUUAAUAGCUAAAGGAUUUCUAAAAGGAUACAACACUUGGGUAAACCAUGGGGAGUCAAUACAAUCAUUGCCUACUCCAAGUGAUGACGACAUGGAAGAUAAUAUAGAUGGAUUAUUGCAUGACACAUUUAGAAAUGUGGUAGAAGGAAGUGGGGACAACACUGGUCCUAAUGAGGAAGCAAAAAAGUUCUACAAGUUGAUUAAUGAAGCAAAACAAGAGUUAUAUCCUGGAUGCCAAAGUUUCUCCAGUCUUUCUUUCAUAAUCCGAAUGUAUCUAUUGAAAUGUCUUCAUGGGUGGAGCAAUGCCUCAUUU